UUCGGACUGAGUGGCGCACGGGUGAGUAACACGUAACUGACCUACCCCCAAGUUGCGAAUAACCAGCCGAAAGGAUGGCUAAUACGUGAUGUGAUGAUCCGCUGUGGCGGAUCAUUAAAGACUUGAUCGCUUGGGGAUGGGGUUGCGUUCCAUCAGCUAGUUGGUAAGGUAAAGGCUUACCAAGGCAACGACGGAUAGCCGGCCUGAGAGGGUGGCCGGCCACAGGGGCACUGAGACACGGGUCCCACUCC
Molecule: ribosomal RNA, 251 nt
Filed under: uncultured Deinococcales bacterium
Lineage: Bacteria; Thermotogati; Deinococcota; Deinococci; Deinococcales
Description: partial 16S ribosomal RNA
Rfam family: Bacterial small subunit ribosomal RNA
Source: RNAcentral